UUUGGAGAAAAUAAUAGAAGAAAGCCAGAGCUCCAAUAAUUUACCCUCAUCUCGUGAAGAAGGCAGGGCUGAGACCCGAAAGCCCACACAGGGAAAACGACAUGCCUAAAAUUUUCUGCCUGUUGCGGACAGAUCAAAGAUUAGAACCCAAGCCGAAGAGGCCUCCAAGCCAAAGGAGGAUUUGUAAAUUCAUUCUUCCAGCUGCAUGGGAAGAGCAGGAAAGUCUAGAUUUGGGGCUUUGAGUUUCAGACCAGACCUCCUGCCUGAGUGUAACAUCUUUCAAUAAUUAUCAGUAUUAACAGUCAUAAUAAUAAUAGAAGCUACUAUUCAUGAA
RNAcentral lists this long non-coding RNA (334 nucleotides) under Homo sapiens (human). RNAcentral's name for it is "HSALNT0370874". The record is from RNAcentral. Lineage: Eukaryota; Metazoa; Chordata; Mammalia; Primates; Hominidae.